Molecule: ribosomal RNA, 425 nt
Filed under: uncultured bacterium
Lineage: Bacteria
Description: partial 16S ribosomal RNA
Rfam family: Bacterial small subunit ribosomal RNA
Source: RNAcentral
GUGGGGAAUAUUGGACAAUGGGCGCAAGCCUGAUCCAGCCAUGCCGCGUGAGUGAUGAAGGCCUUAGGGUUGUAAAGCUCUUUUGUCCGGGAAGAUAAUGACUGUACCGGAAGAAUAAGCCCCGGCUAACUUCGUGCCAGCAGCCGCGGUAAUACGAAGGGGGCUAGCGUUGCUCGGAAUCACUGGGCGUAAAGGGCGCGUAGGCGGACUUUUAAGUCGGAGGUGAAAGCCCAGGGCUCAACCCUGGAAUAGCCUUCGAUACUGGGAGUCUUGAGUUCGGAAGAGGUUGGUGGAACUGCGAGUGUAGAGGUGAAAUUCGUAGAUAUUCGCAAGAACACCGGUGGCGAAGGCGGCCAACUGGUCCGAAACUGACGCUGAGGCGCGAAAGCGUGGGGAGCAAACAGGAUUAGAAACCCCAGUAGUCC